RNAcentral lists this long non-coding RNA (228 nucleotides) under Prunus dulcis (almond). RNAcentral describes it as "sRNA ncRNA". Lineage: Eukaryota; Viridiplantae; Streptophyta; Magnoliopsida; Rosales; Rosaceae. The record is from RNAcentral.
AUGGAAAUUUACAGCGCCUCUGUUCUUCUACUUCAACUCCCUCUUGGAUCACACACUCCAAUUAACCAAAAUAGACCACCGCUUGAUCCUCAAGCUCCGGCCUAGACUCCCGGCGUGGCUUCGCCGAUCUCGGUCUGGUACUUCAAUUUUUACCUUUUGCUCAUGUGUUUCAACUUCUUUACCAUGAAAUUUUUGUGCUUUUUGCCUUUGGUUUGUGAUUUAAUGUAA